Molecule: ribosomal RNA, 253 nt
Filed under: uncultured bacterium
Lineage: Bacteria
Description: partial 16S ribosomal RNA
Rfam family: Bacterial small subunit ribosomal RNA
Source: RNAcentral
UACGUAGGGUCCGAGCGUUGUCCGGAAUUAUUGGGCGUAAAGGGCUCGUAGGCGGUUUGUCGCGUCGGGCGUGAAAACACGGGGCUUAACCCCGUGCCUGCUUCCGAUACGGGCAGACUAGAGGUAUGCAGGGGAGAACGGAAUUCCUGGUGUAGCGGUGAAAUGCGCAGAUAUCAGGAGGAACACCGAUGGCGAAGGCAGGUCUCUGGGCAUUAACUGACGCUGAGGAGCGAAAGCAUGGGGAGCGAACAGG